GAUAUAGAAAUCAAUUCUAUGGGGUUCUUGUUUCUAUGUUGUCCUCUGUCAAAACAUGUAUAGAUUUAUAAGUGCAUUUUUUGAUUAUUUGUCCAUAUCCUGCUGGGGAAGACUGCCUACGUCUGUUAAAAAGUAAGUGUCCAGUUAAGAGUGCGGUAGAAUGUCUUUGUUGUGAGAACGUUGUUUAUUCUCAGACGUCCUAAAGCAUCUGCCCUCCCCGUUGUUCUUCUCCGUUCAGCCCGGACGAGACGGUGCCCCCGAGAGGAGGCCAGAGGAGCUGAGGCCAGUAGAGCUGAGGCCCGAGGAACUGAGUCUAGAGGAAGUGAGGCCGGAGGAGCUGAGGCCAGUGGAGGCGACUCCUCGGAGCCAAUAAAAACUUGUCCCCCUGGCAACCGAAGAGCUCGGCCCGGCGAAGCUGCACAAACAGGGUCCAGAGCCGAGGAGGCCCAGGACCACCGCAAAGACCCACAGUAGUCUGCCCUCUCCUGUUAUUGUGUCCGUCUCAGCUUUGGAGUCUUUCUGCAGCGCCGCUCGUCCGUCAGAGGCAGGUCUGGGGUCAGUGCAUCAGGAGGCCGGGAUGGAGCUGAUAAUUAUUCAUAUUCACUUGGUUGGUGACAGUCGCCUGUUGCUGAUGGAAGUCGUAUUAUAAAGCAUGGAUGAGAAUAUUCUGCAACUUCCAAAUAGUGCUCAGAUAUUAAAGUAGGUUUUUAAUGUCAUGAGAGGAGCAAAUAUAAAACAGACUUUCUUCACACGCGUUUUAUAUGAGACAAUGAAAUAGAGAUAAUAUGAUAUGAAUCCCAGGCUUUAUGUCGUAAGUUGAUAUUUUCAGGGCUCAGAAGAGAAGCAUUUACCGCUUCUGCGGCCGCCAGAUGUGCAAAAUUAUCCAAGUCAAACAAACCAGAUUGCAGGAGGAACAACUUAAUGAAUGUGAUUAUACCAAAUGGUACAAGUGGUAAUGAGAUACAGACACUAGAAACGCCGGUAUGUUACGGGAAGAACUGCACAGCGCUAAUGGGACUACAGUUGUUUUCUAACAGGCUUCCUAUUUGGAGGCCGUCCCAAUGGUGAACACAUGCACACGCAGGCAUCAGGCUGUGGGUCCGUUUGCUUUGCUCCUCGCAGGAAUGCUGGGAAUUGUUUGCUCUGUCUGCUUCAACUUCUGCUCCUUCUAGCCAGCUUAGUUUGGCUUUUUCCGGAUGCGCACGCGCGUGCACACACACACACACACACACACACACACAGUUAUUUUGCCAGUCAAGAAAUGCCCCUGUGUUUUAUGUUGCGCCCUGUAGAGAGCACAGUUUCCUCGUUGCUAUGGUGACCACCUGUAUGUCUUAAUGGUGUCCGAGAGGUUUUGGAUGGGAGCAGAGCUUUUGGAUGUGCGUCUCCGUAUCACGUCUGAGUGUGUUGCUAUUGAAGCCGCAGUGGACAGGAUCUGGGAUCAACGUUUGGGUUUGUCCUGCUGGCGAAUGCAGCGCUGUGGUCGGGUUGGCGAGGCGUAAAAGUGAGCGCGUUUCUGAAGAUAUUAAUGAAAGUUUUUGCCAAAGGCAGAAAUAAAACAGGGCUUUGUGGCUCCAUUUGACACACAAGCAGGGAGGAAUUCAGCUUUUGUUUUUUCCACAUGUAUUAAAAAAGUAUUUCUGUCCAACAUCUUAGUUAGUUCACGUCUGUUCAUGUUAGAAAAUAAUAAUAAAUGAUGCGCUAAAACAAAUAUUUGGACAGCUAAGCGAUAAAUGCUCCAGCCGGUACUAUAAGUUUGGGGUGUCAUGUAGUUUUGAUUGUGGUGAAGUGACAAAAUAACUGAAUGUGUUGUUUUCAGCAGAUUGUGGCGACUUCCUUGAACUGAAUUCAUGUCCCACAUUUGUCUGUUUUACAGGUUAGUGUGAAUAAUCAUUUACUCUCACUAAACUGUUAGUGUUUGUGAUGCCGCCAAUAAAUCCCUACCAAUCAAUCGACAGGGUUACAUUAGUUUAUUGCAGAAACAUGAAGCUCCAUUAAAGAGCUCAAGUCAAACUCCAGCUUGUUGUGCUGUAGAAGCAUAAGUAGACCUGGGAUCAGAAUGCUGUUUUUUUUUCUUCCUUUUUAGGGAAAAAUGCACAUUAACUCUGAAUGUAUGAUUAACGAGGCAAAGCCGUAAGACUAAUAAGCCAUAUUAAAUGUGU
This is a long non-coding RNA of Gasterosteus aculeatus aculeatus (three-spined stickleback), 2162 nucleotides long. The record is from Ensembl. NCBI's taxonomy places the organism in Eukaryota, Metazoa, Chordata, Actinopteri, Perciformes, Gasterosteidae.